GAAAAGUUUUAUUCUUGCUUAUAUUUAUUUACUUUUUCUUUAUAUUAUAUGUAAGUUUUGUUUAACUAAAUGUUCUUUUUGCAGUAAUUUAAUUUAAUUAUCAAGUUAAUUUGGAAUUAGUAAUUGAUAUAGAAUUGACAUAGUUUGUGCCAGCAGUUGCGGUUAUACAAUAAAUACAAGUCAAUAUUUUCGGUCUCAUAGACACAUAUAUCUCUACCGUUGAUCUACAAAGUGUAAAGCUGGGAUUUUAAAUUUUUUUAUAAUUCUNNNNNNNNNNNNNNNNNNNNNNNNNNAAACAGAGGAUUAGAUACCCUAUUAUUUUAAGUGUUAAUUUUAUUUACCAGGGUAGUAUUAGUUAUGAUCUUAAAACCCAAAGAAUUUGGCGGUACUUUAUUCCAUUCAGAGGAACCUAUCCCAUAAUUGAUAGUACACGAUUAACUUUACUUAAUUUAUUUGUUUGUAUAUCUCCGUUAUCAGAAGAUCUUUUUAGAGUUAUAAUUUUCUUAAUUUAUAAUUAUAAAAUAUUUCAGGUCAAGGUGCAGUUUAUAAUUAAGAGGAGGUGGGUUACAAUAAAUUUUAUUUAUAACGAAUUUAAUAAUAAAUAAUUAUUAAUGAAGGUGGAUUUGAUAGUAAUUUAAUUUAUUUAAUUUAAUUGAUUUUGGUUCUAAGGUGUGUACACAUCGCCCGUCGCUCUCAUUUUUGAUUAUUAUAAUUUAUUUAUGUUUAAAUUAUUUUCAAUAUAAAUGAGAUAAGUCGUAACAUAGUAGGUGUACUGGAAAGUGUAUCUAGGAAGAAUUAA
RNAcentral lists this non-coding RNA (799 nucleotides) under Coscineuta sp. OR249. Its description in RNAcentral is "12S ribosomal RNA". The stretch from base 344 to 788 matches the Rfam family "Microsporidia small subunit ribosomal RNA", at positions 752 to 1303 of the family's 1311-position model. Lineage: Eukaryota; Metazoa; Arthropoda; Insecta; Orthoptera; Acrididae. The record is from RNAcentral.